GACGAACGCUGGCGGCAUGCCUAAUACAUGCAAGUCGAGCGAAUGAAGUUCCUUCGGGAACGGAUUUAGCGGCGGACGGGUGAGUAACACGUGGGCAACCUGCCUCAUAGAGGGGAAUAGCCUUCCGAAAGGGAGAUUAAUACCGCAUAAGAUUGUAGUACUGCAUGGUACAGCAAUUAAAGGAGCAAUCCGCUAUGAGAUGAGCCCGCGGCGCAUUAGCUAGUUGGUGAGGUAACGGCUCACCAAGGCGACGAUGCGUAGCCGACCUGAGAGGGUGAUCGGCCACAUUGGGACUGAGACACGGCCCAGACUCCUACGGGAGGCAGCAGUGGGGAAUAUUGCACAAUGGGGGAAACCCUGAUGCAGCAACGCCGCGUGAGUGAUGACGGCCUUCGGGUUGUAAAGCUCUGUCUUCAGGGACGAUAAUGACGGUACCUGAGGAGGAAGCCACGGCUAACUACGUGCCAGCAGCCGCAGUAA
Molecule: ribosomal RNA, 480 nt
Filed under: uncultured bacterium
Lineage: Bacteria
Description: partial 16S ribosomal RNA
Rfam family: Bacterial small subunit ribosomal RNA
Source: RNAcentral